RNAcentral lists this ribosomal RNA (902 nucleotides) under uncultured bacterium. Its description in RNAcentral is "bacterial SSU rRNA". It matches the Rfam family "Bacterial small subunit ribosomal RNA", at positions 33 to 917 of the family's 1533-position model. The record is from RNAcentral.
ACGCUGGCGGCGUGCCUAAUACAUGCAAGUAGAACGCUGAAGAGAGGAGCUUGCUCUUCUUGGAUCAGUUGCGAACGGGUGAGUAACGCGUAGGUAACCUGCCUUGUAGCGGGGGAUAACUAUUGGAAACGAUAGCUAAUACCGCAUAACAAUAGGUGACACAUGUUAUUUAUUUGAAAGGGGCAAUUGCUCCACUACAAGAUGGACCUGCGUUGUAUUAGCUAGUAGGUGAGGUAACGGCUCACCUAGGCGACGAUACAUAGCCGACCUGAGAGGGUGAUCGGCCACACUGGGACUGAGACACGGCCCAGACUCCUACGGGAGGCAGCAGUAGGGAAUCUUCGGCAAUGGGGGCAACCCUGACCGAGCAACGCCGCGUGAGUGAAGAAGGUUUUCGGAUCGUAAAGCUCUGUUGUAAGUCAAGAACGAGUGUGAGAGUGGAAAGUUCACACUGUGACGGUAGCUUACCAGAAAGGGACGGCUAACUACGUGCCAGCAGCCGCGGUAAUACGUAGGUCCCGAGCGUUGUCCGGAUUUAUUGGGCGUAAAGCGAGCGCAGGCGGUUUGAUAAGUCUGAAGUUAAAGGCUGUGGCUCAACCAUAGUUCGCUUUGGAAACUGUCAAACUUGAGUGCAGAAGGGGAGAGUGGAAUUCCAUGUGUAGCGGUGAAAUGCGUAGAUAUAUGGAGGAACACCGGUGGCGAAAGCGGCUCUCUGGUCUGUAACUGACGCUGAGGCUCGAAAGCGUGGGGAGCGAACAGGAUUAGAUACCCUGGUAGUCCACGCCGUAAACGAUGAGUGCUAGGUGUUGGAUCCUUUCCGGGAUUCAGUGCCGCAGCUAACGCAUUAAGCACUCCGCCUGGGGAGUACGACCGCAAGGUUGAAACUCAAAGGAAUUGACGGG